GAGAAAUCAGACAACUAAAGGAGAUUAGCUUCUUUCCUUUCUCUUUUCCCCUUCACCUUUAUUUUCUUGCUGCUUCUGCUAAGCAUCUUUUUUUCUCACUUUUUAGCUCCUCUAUCAUUCUUGUUCAUUCUUUACCUUCCUCUUGGUUAAAAAAAAAAGUAUUUUCCCUUAGGUUCUCUUGCUUUAAUUUGAUACUUUGAUUCCAUACUUCCCUCUUAUUUCUUUCCAUUUCUUCAGCUGAAACCUGUUAGUAAAAUCUUUGAUUCUUGUUGAGCUUUGUCUCUCUGGCAUUGAUCAUUUGAUCACAAAGUCUAAUUCCUUUUCUUAUUGGGAUUUUCUCUUUUCCCUAGGAAUUGUUCUUGGACCUUAAAUACCUUUGCUGAAAUUCUUUGUUGAUCCCUUCUUGGUUCUGCUGUUCUAAGCUUAAAAAUCCCACUUUCUUGUUUUUCAUUUCCAAGAUUGUGACUUUCUUACUUCUUCAAUUGUUGGGUGUCUGAGAAUUCCUUUUUUUUAUUCAUUUGUUUGGUUAUUUGUAGUUUGUAUUCUAUUUGUUUGAGCUCAAAAAUCUUUAAAAUUUGCUCUUGUUUCUUUUUCUCCUUGUAAUGGUCUUAUUUUCUGUAUUUCCCUGUUAGUUCUUGGUAUAAAGUUGUUAACUUUACUUCUUCUGUUUUUUCCUUUUGAUUAAUUGAAUUCUGUUGAUCCUAUCUAAAUUGUGUUCUUGAUUCCAUGGGACUUUGUCAUGGAAAACCCAUUGAACCCCCACAAAACUUGUCUGAAAAUCCCAUAAUUCCCAUUGAUAAUGAGGCUGAAUUGAGUUCCCACACAGGAAAAACACCAAAGUUUCCUUUUUACAGUCCAAGUCCUUUGCCUAGUGGAUUCAAGAAUUCCCCAGCUUCCAAUUCUAGUGUAACUUCAACCCCUUUGAGAUUUCUCAAACGCCCAUUUCCACCACCAUCACCAGCUAAGCAUAUUAGGGCAUUGCUUGCUAGGAGACAUGGCUCAAUUAAGCCUAAUGAAGCUACAAUUCCUGAGGGGAGUGAGUGUGAUAUUGGUUUGGAUAAGAAUUUUGGAUACUCAAAGAAUUUCUUAAGCCACUAUGAGCUUGGAGAAGAAGUGGGAAGGGGCCAUUUUGGUUAUACUUCUGCAGCUAAGGGGAAAAAAGGGAGUUUGAAAGGGCAUGAUGUGGCUGUUAAAGUUAUUCCAAAAUCAAAGAUGACCACAGCAAUUGCAAUUGAGGACGUAAGGAGAGAAGUCAAAAUAUUGCGUGCUUUAACAGGAAAUAGGAAUCUGGUUCAAUUCUAUGAUGCCUAUGAGGACGAGGAAAAUGUUUAUAUAGUCAUGGAGUUAUGUAAAGGAGGAGAAUUACUGGACCGGAUACUUGCAAGGGGUGGGAAAUACUCAGAAGAAGAUGCCAAAGCUGUCAUGGUGCAGCUUCUAAGCGUGACAUCGUACUGUCAUCUUCAAGGGGUUGUUCACCGUGACUUAAAGCCUGAGAACUUCCUUUUUGUUUCUAAGGAUGAGAACUCUCCUUUAAAGGCCAUUGACUUUGGUCUUUCUGAUUACGUAAAACCAGAUGAAAGGCUUAAUGAUAUUGUUGGAAGUGCAUGCUAUGUUGCUCCUGAGGUUUUGCAUAGAUCUUAUGGAACAGAAGCGGACAUGUGGAGCAUUGGUGUAAUUGCCUAUAUUCUUCUAUGUGGAAGCAGGCCUUUCUGGGCGCGAACAGAGUCCGGUAUAUUUAGGGCCAUCCUGAAAACUGAUCCAAACUUUGAAGAAACCCCUUGGCCCUCUUUGUCUUCUGAUGCAGUAGACUUUGUAAAAAGAUUGCUGAAUAAGGAUUACCGCAAAAGGCUAACUGCAGCUCAGGCUCUCAGUAAGUCUCCUUGUAAAAUGUCAAUUUUGGGUAUAUCCUCUCAGCAUCCUGUAGUAGACCUUAUAAUAGUGGAUUAAGGAUAUACCUCUACCAGUUUCAAGUUCCUUAAUGUCCUUGUCAAAUCUUGUCUCGAGAAGAACUCAUCGCCGCCAUAGAUGAAGCUAUUCUGACUUCUUGAUAUAACCAAUUUACCUAUGUGGUUUCAUGUUUAUUAUCUUAGUAAUUUAUCAGAUUUUAGCUGUAUUAUUGAUUUCUUAACCUCUCUCAUUACUUGUCUAGGUCAUCCUUGGUUGGCUGGUUAUCAUGAUCAGGUGAGUUCUCUUCAAUACAGAAAGUUGGAUUUUGAAGAAUUCUGUGCUGCAGCGAUAAGUGUACAUCAGCUUGAAGGAAUGGAAAGCUGGGAGCAACAUGCUCGUCGUGGCUAUGAGUUCUUUGAAAAGGAGGGGAACAGGCCUAUUAUGAUAGAGGAACUCGCCUCGGAGCUCGGGCUAAGUCCUUCAGUUCCAGUUCAUGUAGUUCUGAAGGACUGGAUAAGGCAUUCUGAUGGGAAGCUCAGUUUCUUGGGAUUUGUCAGGCUUCUGCAUGGAGUUUCUUCGCGUACAUUUCAAAAAGCUUAGAAUAUAACCUUCCUUUAUGAAUUUAUCCAAUGCUUCAUCUAGCCUUGAGACUAGUAAAUCGAAGAAUCAUAGUCUUGUUGCUUGAUCGAAUGGUGGCAAUAGAUGAUCUGUUAAAUGCUGAUACAGCUGGUUUACGACGAAGCUACAGAUCGUAUUUGAUAAUGCAUGGCAUUAGCAGCAGCAUAUUGGUGUCAAGUCUUAUUGUAAUUCUUCUAUUCUUCAAAUGUUGGAUGGCAUGCCACUUAAGAGGAUUGUACAGAUGAGGAUAAUCAGAAAAGUGUAAGUAGGGUCAGAAAAGACAGCUGAAAGCUGAGAUGAGUUUUUGUGGCUUCUGAGUGUAAAGCCUUGUUUACCAUUCCCUUGGCUUAAUAAAUUCUCUUUAUUGUGCCUGUAAUCUUAGAUCCUUAAUAUAUGGAUUCACUAGCAGUGUCGGUUUAUUGUCGAAUUUCUGCUUGUCAGUGGGUGGAUUUUAAGGCUUCAUUUCUUGUCCCAAAUUGA
RNA transcript from Nicotiana attenuata, 2985 nucleotides. It is a transcript of the gene named CDPK-related kinase 7-like, with no coding region annotated. The transcript is spliced from 8 exons. The record is from RefSeq and is a predicted model, not a curated record. NCBI's taxonomy places the organism in Eukaryota, Viridiplantae, Streptophyta, Magnoliopsida, Solanales, Solanaceae.